AAAUCUAGCAUUAGCGUGGAUGAAAAGAUGAUGAAAACAUAUUCGAAAACAUGUUUGAAGAGUCUCGGUUCGAUUUGAAAUAAAUCGGAGGUCAAACGAGCGAAAACGGAGUGAAAACCGACGAAGGCUGAAAAUGCUGAAAAAUUGGCUAAGUCUGGAACUUUGGUCCUUCGGGGACCGGUCUCUCACUGCCUGGGACCGGUCCCAGAGACUCGAAAAUGCCCAGUUCGGGCUGCUGCGAGAAAAGCAUUGUGGAGGGGCUUAAGUGCAAAAUGACACUUAUGAGAGUGUAUAGAGAGGAUCCUUUCUCUCUUUCUCUCAUUUCUCUCACUCUCCCACACUAAAACCUCUCCCUCUCUCUCUCUAGAAAGAAAGGAAGGAGAAGAAGAGGAGAAAGAAAGGGACGAAGAAGAUGAAGGAGAAGAGGCCAAGAAUAUGGAGCUUCAUCUUCAUUUUCUUCCUUGAGCCAUUGGAGCAAGCUUAGAGAGGUAAGCCUUAUUGUAAGGUACCGGACUUCUAAAAUCAUGAAGUUAUGGUUUAUGUGAGGUUAGAAAGCCAUUCGAAUGGUUCCGGUGAAGUUCGGUGAAGUUCGGAGGCAUUCGGGCGUUUCGGUGCGCAUAGGUGCGGAAACGGGACCCGAAAGGCUAUGUUGGGCCGUGAGCUAAAUCCGGCGUUAGUGCGGAUGAAAAGAUGAGGAAAAUACGCUUGAGAACAUGUUUGGAGAGUCUCGGUUCGAUUUGAGACGAAUCGGAGGUCAAACGAGCGAAAACGGACGAAAACGGGCGAAAAUGCUGAAAAUUUGGCUAAGUCCUUGAGGCUGAGUUCUGGACCUUCGGGGACCGGUCUCUCAGCCAAGGACCGGUCUCUCAGGGACCGGUCCCUCACCGCAAGGACCGGUCCCCGAACGCGAAAAACGCCCAGUUUGAGCUGAUGCGAGGUUAGAAGAGUUGGGGGGCUUAUUUGGAAAUGUUACAAUGUGAGAGGGGGUUAAGAGAGGACUCUCUCUCUCUCUUUCUCUCAUUCCCUCACUCUCCCUCAUGUUUCUCUCUCUCUCUCUCUCUAAACGAAAGAAAAAGAAGAAGGGGAGAAAGAAGAGAAGAAGAAGAAAAAGAAGAAGAAGAGGAAGGAGAAGAAGGAGAAGAAGAUCAAGAAGGAGAUCAACUCCACCUUCUUCUCUCCCUCCUUG
Molecule: long non-coding RNA, 1186 nt
Filed under: Ananas comosus (pineapple)
Lineage: Eukaryota; Viridiplantae; Streptophyta; Magnoliopsida; Poales; Bromeliaceae
Description: long non-coding RNA (ACOM_LNC001116)
Source: RNAcentral